RNAcentral lists this transfer RNA (25 nucleotides) under Mus musculus (house mouse). RNAcentral's name for it is "partial tRNA-Phe". The record is from RNAcentral. Lineage: Eukaryota; Metazoa; Chordata; Mammalia; Rodentia; Muridae.
GUUAAUGUAGCUUAAUAUCAAAGCA